Molecule: ribosomal RNA, 671 nt
Filed under: Arthrobacter sp. NIOT-PS12
Lineage: Bacteria; Bacillati; Actinomycetota; Actinomycetes; Micrococcales; Micrococcaceae
Description: bacterial SSU rRNA
Rfam family: Bacterial small subunit ribosomal RNA
Source: RNAcentral
GAAGCCCAGCUUGCUGGGUGGAUUAGUGGCGAACGGGUGAGUAACACGUGAGUAACCUGCCCCUGACUUUGGGAUAAGCCCGGGAAACUGGGUCUAAUACCGGAUAUGACUAUGGAACGCAUGUUUUGUGGUUGAAAGAUUUAUCGGUGAGGGAUGGACUCGCGGCCUAUCAGCUUGUUGGUGAGGUAAUGGCUCACCAAGGCGACGACGGGUAGCCGGCCUGAGAGGGUGACCGGCCACACUGGGACUGAGACACGGCCCAGACUCCUACGGGAGGCAGCAGUGGGGAAUAUUGCACAAUGGGCGAAAGCCUGAUGCAGCGACGCCGCGUGAGGGAUGACGGCCUUCGGGUUGUAAACCUCUUUCAGUAGGGAAGAAGCGAAAGUGACGGUACCUGCAGAAGAAGCGCCGGCUAACUACGUGCCAGCAGCCGCGGUAAUACGUAGGGCGCAAGCGUUAUCCGGAUUUAUUGGGCGUAAAGAGCUCGUAGGCGGUUUGUCGCGUCUGCCGUGAAAGUCCGAGGCUCAACCUCGGAUCUGCGGUGGGUACGGGCAGACUAGAGUGAUGUAGGGGAGACUGGAAUUCCUGGUGUAGCGGUGAAAUGCGCAGAUAUCAGGAGGAACACCGAUGGCGAAGGCAGGUCUCUGGGCAUUUACUGACGCUGAGGAGCG